AGUGAACGCUGGCGGUGUGCUUAACACAUGCAAGUCGAACGGGAGCUAUGUAAUAGCUUGCUCUUUCGGGUGGCGAGUGUCGGACGGGUGAAGAAUACAUCGGACUUUAGUUUUUCGUCGGGGAUAACGUAGGGAAACUUACGCAAAUCCGGCAAACGCCCUACGGGUGAAAGAAGGGGAUCUCCGGAUCUUGAGGAAUUGGAUGGGCCGAUGUCGGAUCAGCUAGUUGGCGGGGUCAAGGCCGCCCAAGGCGCCGAUACGUAGCCGGGCUGAGAGGGUGAACGGCCACACUGGGACUGAGACACGGUCCAGACUCCUACGGGAGGCAGCAGUGGGGAAUAUUGCACAAUGGGGGAGACCCUGAUGCAGCGACGCCGCGUGAAGGCAGAAGUAUCUCGGUAUGUACACUUCUAUCAGCAGGGAAGAUAGUGACGGUACCUGACUAAGAAGCCCCGGCUAACUACGUG
This 467-nucleotide ribosomal RNA is filed under the name uncultured bacterium. RNAcentral's name for it is "partial 16S ribosomal RNA". It matches the Rfam family "Bacterial small subunit ribosomal RNA", at positions 29 to 507 of the family's 1533-position model. The record is from RNAcentral.